RNAcentral lists this long non-coding RNA (568 nucleotides) under Daphnia magna. Its description in RNAcentral is "uncharacterized LOC123467422". Lineage: Eukaryota; Metazoa; Arthropoda; Branchiopoda; Diplostraca; Daphniidae. The record is from RNAcentral.
UGUACCUGUUGUAGCUCUUUGUUAUAUUUAUUGAUAAAAGUUCUGAGGACGAAAUUUCUGAAAAUAGUGACGUGGAUAUGUAAGACAGUGACACUGACAGUGAUGAAACUGUAAACAAACAACGAAUUGCUCAUGAAAACGCAAUGGCUAUGUGGAGAUGGAAGGCCAAGUGUGUUUGUUUGCUCUAUUUGUUGAUGAAACGUCGUCGUUUAAAGGCUUUACAAAAUUCUUAUCGACCAGUUGGUAGGCUGUGGACUAGAUUCCACAACUCUUCAUCACAACGGGAGCAGCAUUCACUGUGUACAACUGUCCUUCUUGCAGAGAAAAGUAUGGCAGAUUGCUUUACCUUCCGAAACAUCACUCGAAUGUCUCCAUCCAUGUUCAAUAAACUGUUGAAAAUGGUUGGUCCAAAACUUGCAAAAAAAGACACAAAAAUGAGACGUUCAAUACCAGUUGGUAUAGACUACAUUGUUUUACUAUCUUACUAUUGUUAAUUUCCAUGUAAAAUUUUGAUGAAAUUGAAUGAAUUGAAAUAGAAUAAGCAAUAAACCAAAAUAGUUGCAAAAGA